This 190-nucleotide ribosomal RNA is filed under the name uncultured bacterium. RNAcentral's name for it is "partial 16S ribosomal RNA". It matches the Rfam family "Bacterial small subunit ribosomal RNA", at positions 338 to 524 of the family's 1533-position model. The record is from RNAcentral.
CCUACGGGAGGCAGCAGUGAGGAAUAUUGGUCAAUGGACGGAAGUCUGAACCAGCCAUGCCGCGUGCAGGAUUAAGGCCCUAUGGGUCGUAAACUGCUUUUGUGGUGGAGCAAUAAGACGUACGUGUACGUCGAUGAGAGUACAUCACGAAUAAGCAUCGGCUAACUCCGUGCCAGCAGCCCGCGGUAAU